UACAUAGUUGCUUCCUUGUGUAUCUCUCUUUGCUUUGAUCAGUUGUUGUUUGUUGUUGUAUUGGUCUGUAUAAUAUAUCUCUUACAUUGUUGUAUUGUGUAUCUCGGGUGCUUUGAUCAGUUGUUGCUGUAUUGUGUAUCUCGUGAGUCAUGUGACAUAAGAAGCCAGGAGAUGAUAUUGGUAUGUUUCACUCACUCAUAAAGCUUGUCACUGAUGCUUACGAUUGUAACUCAUAAAGCUAUUGCUUUUGCAGGUGGAGCCAACAAACGACAGUAGCAACAUGUGACACCAACAAACGACAGUAGCGACAUGUGACAACAAAAGCAAGUUGUGACUCCUUUUUAUUUUUUUAUAAGCUUAGCCAUUUCACUUAAAGAGUGCAUAAGUUGUAUUUGUCUUCCGAGUGUAAGCAAGUUGUAUUCCUCUUCCGAGUGUAAAAGAACAAGUGUGUG
RNAcentral lists this long non-coding RNA (452 nucleotides) under Brassica napus (rape). RNAcentral describes it as "long non-coding RNA (BNAP_LNC009492)". The record is from RNAcentral. Lineage: Eukaryota; Viridiplantae; Streptophyta; Magnoliopsida; Brassicales; Brassicaceae.